Non-coding RNA from Aspergillus viridinutans, 79 nucleotides. The record is from the annotation of a RefSeq genome assembly. Lineage: Eukaryota; Fungi; Ascomycota; Eurotiomycetes; Eurotiales; Aspergillaceae.
AACCUCUGGUCGUGGACAGGUUGGUCAUCACGUAUCGUUAACACCGAUAAGGUCGCCGGAUCGAGCCCGGCACUGGUCA